AGUGAACGCUGGCGGUAGGCCUAACACAUGCAAGUCGAACGGCAGCACAGUAAGAGCUUGCUCUUACGGGUGGCGAGUGGCGGACGGGUGAGGAAUACAUCGGAAUCUACUUUUUCGUGGGGGAUAACGUAGGGAAACUUACGCUAAUACCGCAUACGACCUACGGGUGAAAGCAGGGGAUCUUCGGACCUUGCGCGAUUGAAUGAGCCGAUGUCGGAUUAGCUAGUUGGCGGGGUAAAGGCCCACCAAGGCGACGAUCCGUAGCUGGUCUGAGAGGAUGGUCAGCCACACUGGAACUGAGACACGGUCCAGACCCCUACGGGAGGCAGCAGUGGGGAAUAUUGGACAAUGGGCGCAAGCCUGAUCCAGCCAUACCGCGUGGGUGAAGAAGGCCUUCGGGUUGUAAAGCCCUUUUGUUGGGAAAGAAAAGCAGCAGGUUAAUACCCCGCUGUUCUGACGGUACCCAAAGAAUAAGCACCGGCUAACUUCGUG
RNAcentral lists this ribosomal RNA (492 nucleotides) under uncultured bacterium. Its description in RNAcentral is "partial 16S ribosomal RNA". It matches the Rfam family "Bacterial small subunit ribosomal RNA", at positions 29 to 507 of the family's 1533-position model. The record is from RNAcentral.